Molecule: long non-coding RNA, 2125 nt
Filed under: Homo sapiens (human)
Lineage: Eukaryota; Metazoa; Chordata; Mammalia; Primates; Hominidae
Description: HSALNT0333905
Source: RNAcentral
UUUCCUGUGCGGAAACACCUUGCUUGGGUGAAGUGUCAGAUGAGGCUAUAUUUUGCUUGGUUGUUCGUCCUCCAUCAUUCUAUUGGCCUCCUGUGCUCAGCGGCACCCGGAUCCUCCUCCUUAUCUCAGGGCCACACCUUACACUUGUCCACUCGGAAUCUGUCUUCUACUUCCCUGCGCCCUGGGCUGGUCCUUCUGCAGCUUCUCUCCCUGUGGUUGAAAAUCUAACCACCCACUGUUGUCAUUUCUCUUUUGUGUAUCCCAUUUCCCCAUUGAAAAUAGCAUUCAAUAAGACAGGUUCCAGCAUGCCUCCUCUGACCACCCCACUGGUAACAGUUCUGCACUCAGAAACACACAUGCUCAGCCCUGCUUUGGGGUUUUGCUUUUGGUAAACCAUUUCUCUUAUCCUUACAAAUUUUUGAAACAUCAUCUUUCUGUCUCAGAUUGCUUCCUCCUUAAAAACCCAGCCCCCAGGGACCUGCCUGUUUCAUCUUUACCCCAUGCCUCUAGUGGCUUUCUUGCUUAGCCAGGUGACACUUUUCAGACAGUUUAGGGAUGGCAUUGAGGUGGGAGGAAGGCAGGCUCUCUGGAUCCUGCCCACCCCUGCCUUUCCCUUAGCCUUCCCUGCGGUGGUACAAACACACAGACCCUUUCAAGUGAGGGCUUCAUUGGCAAUUCGUCCAGACAAUACAAAAGGAGGGUCAAUAAGGGGAAGGGACGAAGGCUCCAGGAAGGUCACUGGGUCCUUCUAGUUUACUUCCUGGUCCCUACUGCAGUGUCCAUGACGAUCCUCAGUCUGUCUUGGGUGUCUUGAAUGGUGCUGAUAUAGUCCCCCUGUUUCUGCUCUUUCUCACAUUCUUCUCCAGGGCCUGUUCCCAGCAAGAUCCCUGUGCCCAAUAUCUUGCAUUUGCAUUGAAGAGGCACUGGCUGCGCCAGGAGAAUGAAGUCGGAGAGAUAUCUCUCCAGGCAUCUCCCUGCUGGCUGGCGUGGGCUGCCUGCAUCCCUCAGGGGAAGGCAUGGCUCUGGCCUGGCUGCCCUCUCUGAGUCUGUUCAUUGUAUAUGGAACCUUCUUUACCCACCUUGCACACCCUUGCUCUUUCAGGUUGUCUUCUACUCAAGGCAGCAGGUCCAAACUUUUGUCAUGAUAAAGAGUCAGAUCACUGAGCUCUGCCAAAAAUACCUGGUUUGGUAGGGUCUCGGCUCCUGCUGGCUCCCUGGCGGAUACAGUCCUUCUCUCCAGUGUCGUUUCUCAACCUCUUAAAUCCAGGUUUCCUCUCCGUAAAUGGAAAAACCUCAUGCUCUGCCAGCAAUUCUAAUGCACCUUUCAGGCACUUUGGGAAGCGCACCUCACCUAGGAUGACUCGCGCCCUGGAGGCUCGGGAAGGACAGGCUGUUUGCUCUGCAGCCCAUCUGCCAAGCAUCCCCAAAGAACAUUCAAGUCUGAGCCUCAAGGAGCCUCUGCGACUCGGUGUCUAGAUCCAGGAAAUGGAGAAUGAGCCGUGACUUUGGAUGCUUCACUCUUGUCCAUCAGGCUCGGAAUUGGUGAGCAUCUCCCACAUUACCGUCUCCAACGGAACAAGGUGCCCCAUUGGACAUUUCCUCUGCAUGGACCAGCCAUUCUCCAAAUCUGCCCCCAUGUCACCCCAGCUCCCCAUCGCAGUCACUUCUCACUCCUUGUCCCCUGUCCCCCUGAGUGACAGGACUUUUGCCAGUUAGGUCCUGUCCCUGUUUCUGAUCUUGGGUCCAUUCCCCAUGGUCCCUUUCUUGCUUGUGCCUUGGGAUCUCAGGCCUGUUGAAGUAGGAGGCAGGACUCAACUUCAGACCAGAUUGAAGACUGGCUGACACAGAAGAGGCACCAAAAGCACCUCUCUCUCCAUAAGACAUGCCCACCAGUGCCAUGACAGUUUACCAUUGCUAUGGCAAUGCCCAGAAGUUCUCACCCCUUUUCCAGACAUUUCUGCAUAAUCUACCCCUCAAUUGGCAUGUGAUCAAAAGUGGGUGUCAAAAUGACUGUGGAACUGUCCCUGAGCUGCUACUCUUGACAUGCUGGUUACAGGGUAGCCCGGCUCUGCAGGGACAGUCACGGAGCUGAAAAACUGCUGCCUAAUGAAGCUGUUUUCUUCUA